This is a small nuclear RNA of Xiphophorus hellerii (green swordtail), 104 nucleotides long. The record is from RefSeq and is a predicted model, not a curated record. NCBI's taxonomy places the organism in Eukaryota, Metazoa, Chordata, Actinopteri, Cyprinodontiformes, Poeciliidae.
ACCAUGUGACUAUGAUGAGUGCUGGUCUGUUAUGAUACAGGGAAGAUUAGCAUGGCCUCUGGCGCAAGGCUGAGAUGCAAAUUUGUGAAGCGUUCCUUAUUUUC